GUCUCAAAGAUUAAGCCAUGCAUGUCUAAGUAUAAGCACUUGUACUGUGAAACUGCGAAUGGCUCAUUAAAUCAGUUAUCGUUUAUUUGAUUGUACUUUACUACAUGGAUACCUGUGGUAAUUCUAGAGCUAAUACAUGCGAAAAAUCCCGACUUCUGGAAGGGAUGUAUUUAUUAGAUUAAAAACCAAUGCGAGUCUUCGGUCUCGUUUUCUUGGUGAUUCAUGAUAACUUUUCGAAUCGCAUGGCCUAGCGCCGGCGAUAUUUCAUUCAAAUUUCUGCCCUAUCAACUGUCGAUGGUAAGGUAGUGGCUUACCAUGGUUAUAACGGGUGACGGAGAAUUAGGGUUCGAUUCCGGAGAGGGAGCCUGAGAAACGGCUACCACAUCUAAGGAAGGCAGCAGGCUCGAAAAUUACCCAAUCCCGACUCGGGGAGGUAGUGACAAGAAAUAACGAUACGGGGUCUUAAUAGGUCUCGCAAUUGGAAUGAGUACAAUUUAAAUCCUUUAACGAGGAUCAAUUGGAGGGCAAGUCUGGUG
This 536-nucleotide ribosomal RNA is filed under the name Siphonophorae sp. CN2. RNAcentral describes it as "SSU rRNA". It matches the Rfam family "Eukaryotic small subunit ribosomal RNA", at positions 34 to 566 of the family's 1831-position model. Lineage: Eukaryota; Metazoa; Cnidaria; Hydrozoa; Siphonophorae. The record is from RNAcentral.